AAAACUUUAAGUUAAUAUUUAAAACUAAUAAUCUUCAAAAUUAUAAAUAAAUUUUUAUUUAAGUUUUA
RNAcentral lists this transfer RNA (68 nucleotides) under Psilotreta sp. XG-2021. RNAcentral's name for it is "tRNA-Trp". The record is from RNAcentral. Lineage: Eukaryota; Metazoa; Arthropoda; Insecta; Trichoptera; Odontoceridae.